Gorilla gorilla gorilla (western lowland gorilla) is the source of this 284-nucleotide unclassified non-coding RNA. Its record names the gene 7SK. It matches the Rfam family "7SK RNA". Rfam says of the family: 7SK was discovered as an abundant small nuclear RNA in the mid-70s but a possible function has only recently been suggested. The record is from Ensembl. NCBI's taxonomy places the organism in Eukaryota, Metazoa, Chordata, Mammalia, Primates, Hominidae.
GGAUGUGAGGGCAAUCAGGCUGCGACAUCUGUCAUCCCAUUGAUUGCUAGGAUUGAUUCAGCUGAUCUGGCUGGCUAGGUGGGUGUCCCCUUCCUCCAUCACCACUCCAUGUGAUGUGCGUCCCUCCUGAAGCUGCGCAGUGGGUCAAAGAGGAUGACCAUCCCCGAGAGAGUAGGACCAGUCUUCAGUAAAGCGUAUACCAAUAUCUGCGCUCCCCUGAUAGAACCUCCAAACAAAGAGCCAACUUCUCCUGCUAAAUGCCAUGCUGGUUGCAUUCCAGUGUG